CCUACGGGUGGCAGCAGUGGGGAAUAUUGCACAAUGGGGGAAACCCUGAUGCAGCGACGCCGCGUGAGUGAAGAAGUAAUUCGUUAUGUAAAGCUCUAUCAGCAGGGAAGAACAUGACGGUAACUGACUAAGCAGCCCCGGCUAACUACGUGCCAGCAGCCGCGGUAAGACGUAGGGGGCAAGCGUUAUCCGGAUUUACUGGGUGUAAAGGGAGCGUAGACGGCAGUGCAAGUCUGGAGUGAAAGGCGGGGGCUCAACCCCCGGACUGCACUGGAAACUGUACGGCUGGAGUGCAGGAGAGGUAAGUGGAAUUCCAUGUGUAGCGGUGAAAUGCGUAGAUAUUAGGAGGAACACCAGUGGCGAAGGCGACUUACUGGACUGUAACUGACGUUGAGGCGCGAAAGCGUGGGGAGCAAACAGGAUUAGAUACCCGUGUAGUC
RNAcentral lists this ribosomal RNA (440 nucleotides) under uncultured bacterium. RNAcentral describes it as "partial 16S ribosomal RNA". It matches the Rfam family "Bacterial small subunit ribosomal RNA", at positions 338 to 795 of the family's 1533-position model. The record is from RNAcentral.